This is a long non-coding RNA of Sander lucioperca (pikeperch), 944 nucleotides long. RefSeq lists it as uncharacterized. Lineage: Eukaryota; Metazoa; Chordata; Actinopteri; Perciformes; Percidae. The transcript is spliced from 3 exons. The record is from RefSeq and is a predicted model, not a curated record.
UUAGCUUGCUAACUCCGCCUUAACGUUACCACCUCGUCACAUCGUUCACAGAAAACAAGCCGAAUGAAGCCGUCACUCGGGGCGACGGCAACAUGCUUUGUGUGGAUGAAGCAUGAAGUUAAUUUGACUCAUUCAGCGGCCGGCUCUCUGCUUCGUAACGUUACUACUCCACGGCUCGUUUGCUCCGCGACUCGCCGGAAGUCGUCUUAUACUGAAAUGUAUAUGUUACCAUGGCAAUGGUAAACGUAAAUGGCUGCCGCUCUGACCAUUCUGCUAUGUUGAUUUAAAUGGAAAUGGCCUUUCUAUUCAAUUCGUCUGACAAUCUUUUCUGUACCGAGGCCGCUGUGUCAGCCAGUAAAGAACUUUACUUCUAAUUUUAAAUAUAGAUAGGCCUUAGUAGUUUAAAUAACUAGUAAAGUAAAGAGAGAAAUAGCAACAAGAAAAAAACACCACAAUUGACAGCUUCUCCAUUGUACAACUUAACCAAUACCCUAGCAUUGUGUAUCAGAUCACAACAAUUUGUAGUUAGCUGGAUCAUCAUUUUCCAUAAUAGACCAUAUACUGACCUACCUGAGACAGCAUCGUAGCUCUGCUCGGGUCCUGCAGGUCACACAAUGUGUACAGUAACGUACAUUAGGCUAACGUUACCAGGCUUGGCUAGCGAUCGUUAAAGACAUGUUCAAAAUCAGCAUUCUGUCUCUGGGGCAGUCAGUUGAGAAAAUAACUAAGAAUAAACAAAAUAAGACUAAAGAUGGACAACAAGGCCACAUCAACAAUAACUAACAGUAUACAGCACCAAUACAAGAUUAAUACAUGAAGAAUUUAUGAAGGGAACACAUUACACAUUAUUUACUAGUUGUCAGGGAGCUCAGAGGACUCAAAAGCACGACUCAGUGGCAGAGGUAAAGAGGUAAUGAAGUUUAUUAUUAUUAUUACAAAGUGCA